RNAcentral lists this long non-coding RNA (1219 nucleotides) under Populus trichocarpa (black cottonwood). Its description in RNAcentral is "long non-coding RNA (PTRI_LNC003172)". Lineage: Eukaryota; Viridiplantae; Streptophyta; Magnoliopsida; Malpighiales; Salicaceae. The record is from RNAcentral.
CCUUCUCCUUCCCUUAGCCGUUUCAGACUCUCCCUUCUCCCCUUGAGUCGCCGGCACACAAGGCCUCCUCCUCCAAAAUCAAACUGCUCCCACUCCAGCUCCUUUCCCAUUCUUCCCCCAGCUGCUAGCCAAGACAAACCCAUUUUCUUCAUCAUCUCCUUCGGCCGGCAGCAGACCCAGCUCAUUGCUUCCAACAGCCUUCAUCAUCUCCUUCGGCGCCGUCUCCAGCUCCUCCACCAAGCGCAGCGGCAGCCCCCGCUGUCUUCUUCCUCUCCUGCCAACCGCCCAACAACUCCUUUCUCCAGCCCAGCGGCGAAACAGAGGAGAUUAGGAAAGGAAAAGAAACGAACAGAUCUGCCCCAAAAUGGAGAAAAAGAGCAGCACAAAAAAAAUGAAGAACAACUAAAACCGAUUGCUUUGUGUGUGUUUUUCUUGCUGUUGCAGGUGACGGUGACUCUCACCACCGGUGGAGGAAGACAGGGAAGAAGAAGACGUUCCCGAUCCACUGAUUUUUGGUCUCCAUCAGCGGCGGCGCGUGAGCCCACGCGCCGCCAGUGACGGUGGCGCGUUGGAACACGCGCCGCCAGCUGUUCCUGCCUCCAAUUCCUGUGCAGAAGGGUUCCUGUGCAAUUUCUGGAGUUUUGGGGGACUGAUUUGUAAAUUUCGGAUUAUUUAAUGUAAUUUAGUAUAAUGUGUAUUGUGGAUGUAAAAAGGGAGAAAAAUAAAAAAAAAUAAAAAUAAAAAAAAAAGAAAAAGAAAAAAGAAAACAAAAGAAGAAAAAAUAUAAUAAAAAAUGUGUGUUUGUGCUUGUUUUUUUAUUAUGUUAUAAAAAAUAAAAAAGGGCAAAAAAGAAAAGCAAAAAAGAAAAUAAAAAAUGCAUGUCUGUAUUUAUUUCAGGAAUCUUUUUACGAGAUGACAAAGCAUAAAGAAGGAUUUAAUAUUUUGAUCGGAUCACGGUGUAGAAGUACAAACUUGUACGAAAGUUGUAUUUCUAAAUUCUGAUGAAAAGACAAAAUUUUUAAAACUUCUUGGACACAUCACAACCACAAAGCAGCUUACCUCAGGUAGGGUGUGUUAGGGGUGCUAACACCUUCCCUAACCACAAUCAGUCCCUUACCCGCGAAUCUCUGACAAGACCAGUCAACUUGGGUUUCCUAGUAACCCUCAAUUAAAUACUAGAUGGCGACUCCUAACAAAAUCAAUUCCAAUAACAGAGAGA